RNAcentral lists this ribosomal RNA (490 nucleotides) under uncultured bacterium. Its description in RNAcentral is "partial 16S ribosomal RNA". It matches the Rfam family "Bacterial small subunit ribosomal RNA", at positions 30 to 507 of the family's 1533-position model. The record is from RNAcentral.
AUUGAACGCUGGCGGCAGGCCUAACACAUGCAAGUCGAACGGUAACAGGGAUCAGCUUGCUGAUUCGCUGACGAGUGGCGGACGGGUGAGUAAUGUCUGGGAAACUGCCUGAUGUAGGGUGAUAACUACUGGAAACGGUAGCUAAUACCGCAUAACGUCGCAAGACCAAAGAGGGGGACCUUCGGUCCUCUUGCCAUCGGAUGUGCCCAGAUGGGAUGAGCGAGGAGGUGGGGUAACGGCUCACCUAGGCGACGAUCCCUCCCUGGUGUGAGAGGAUGAGCAGCCACCCUGGAAGUGAGACACGGUACAGACUCCUACGGGAGGCAGCAGUGGGGAAUAUUGAAGAAUGGGCGGAAGACUGAUGCAGACAUGCCGAGUGUAUGUAGAAGGACUUCGGGUUGUAAAGUACUUUCAGCGGGGAGGAAGGGAGUAAAGUUAAUACCUUUGCUUAUUGACGUUAAACGCAGAAGAAGCAACGGCUAAAUCAGUG